UGGGGAAUUGUUCGCAAUGGGCGCAAGCCUGACGACGCAACGCCGCGUGGAGGAUGAAGGUCUUCGGAUUGUAAACUCCUGUUGCUCGGGACGAAAAGCUUCGACCUAACACGUCGAAGUCUGACGGUACCGAGUGAGGAAGCCCCGGCUAACUCUGUGCCAGCAGCCGCGGUAAUACAGAGGGGGCAAGCGUUGUUCGGAAUUACUGGGCGUAAAGGGCGCGUAGGCGGCCUGCUAAGUCGAACGUGAAAUCCCUGGGCUCAACCCAGGAACUGCGUCCGAUACUGGUUGGCUUGAAUCCGGGAGAGGGAUGUGGAAUUCCAGGUGUAGCGGUGAAAUGCGUAGAUAUCUGGAGGAACACCGGUGGCGAAGGCGACAUCCUGGACCGGCAUUGACGCUGAGGCGCGAAAGCCAGGGGAGCAAACGGG
This 428-nucleotide ribosomal RNA is filed under the name uncultured Acidobacteriota bacterium. RNAcentral describes it as "bacterial SSU rRNA". It matches the Rfam family "Bacterial small subunit ribosomal RNA", at positions 355 to 776 of the family's 1533-position model. The record is from RNAcentral. Lineage: Bacteria; Pseudomonadati; Acidobacteriota.